GUCCCAUUUUCAUCAACUUAAUUUCGCUUUAUAAGCCUGUAUCGUCAUCACAAGAUCAUCUGGUGUAUGAAAACCGCCUCUAGCAUUAAACCUGUCCUGUUUUCUCACUAGAAGGCAGCACUGUGAUUUUAACACAGGCAUCUUAGGGCUUUUAUUGUAACAGCGUCAAAGAAUGCCCGUCGAUAGCCCGUCACCGCGUCAAACAUGUCUGUCUGCAGGGCUCUGCCAUGAGCGUCUGACGCGCUCAGGAAGCGUUUCACCACAGCGUUUCGCGACGCGCUCAAUGCGACUGCGGAUAUUAAACACUGUUUCGGGCGCCAUAGAGGAAUGAUUAUCCACAAUCCAGUGAUUAAUAUUAAAUAAAGGCCUAGUUAUCGACUGCUGGAUCCUGAUUUGAAGCGUCGCUGUGGUCCGGGUGCACAAUGAUUUGUGAUGGACAGGAUGAAGAGGACAGUGCUCUCUCACACCCCUGUGUUUAUGACCAGUCAGCACUGUGACUCCCACACAUGCCAUAGAUGUCCUUCCCUUAGCUCACUGAGCUAACUUUAUUUCUCCUCAUCACCCCUGUUAUCCUUCCACUCUUCCCUCUCUCAUGCCUCUUGCUCUGUCUUCACUCUGUCUCUCUUCUCUUAUC
Sinocyclocheilus rhinocerous is the source of this 634-nucleotide long non-coding RNA. RefSeq lists it as uncharacterized. The record is from RefSeq and is a predicted model, not a curated record. The transcript is spliced from 3 exons. NCBI's taxonomy places the organism in Eukaryota, Metazoa, Chordata, Actinopteri, Cypriniformes, Cyprinidae.